RNAcentral lists this ribosomal RNA (254 nucleotides) under uncultured bacterium. Its description in RNAcentral is "partial 16S ribosomal RNA". It matches the Rfam family "Bacterial small subunit ribosomal RNA", at positions 524 to 776 of the family's 1533-position model. The record is from RNAcentral.
UACGUAGGGGGCAAGCGUUGUCCGGAUUUAUUGGGCGUAAAAGGCUUGUAGGUGGCCACGCCAAGUCGGAUGUGAAAUCUCCCGGCUCAACUGGGAGGGGUCAUUCGAUAGUGGCGGGCUCGAGGCCGGUAGGGGGAAGUGGAAUUCCCGGUGUAGUGGUGGAAUGCGUAGAUAUCGGGAGGAACACCAGUGGCGAAGGCGGCUUCCUGGACCGGUUCUGACACUGAGGAGCGAAAGCGUGGGGAGCGAUCCGG